UUGAUUUUGGCGGCCUUUAGGUCAUUUAUCAGUUUACAGUUGGACAGUUUUAAAUGACAAAAUUAUCCUUGAAACGAUGCUGUGGCGCGAAACAUUGCUUGCCUCCGGUAACCGAAGCCAUGAACUUUAUUUCAGAUAGAACAAAGGAAAUUUUCGAAUAGUCUUGGGUGGUUAACGCCGGUGGCGGUAAUUACUUUCUUGAGUUUCAUCAAACAGCUCACUAGCCGUUUGAUGAAAUGCCGC
This 243-nucleotide long non-coding RNA is filed under the name Citrus maxima (pomelo). RNAcentral's name for it is "long non-coding RNA (CMAX_LNC000244)". Lineage: Eukaryota; Viridiplantae; Streptophyta; Magnoliopsida; Sapindales; Rutaceae. The record is from RNAcentral.